CCUACGGGAGGCAGCAGUGGGGAAUAUUGCACAAUGGGGGAAACCCUGAUGCAGCGACGCCGCGUGAGCGAUGAAGUAUUUCGGUAUGUAAAGCUCUAUCAGCAGGGAAGAAAAUGACGGUAACUGACUAAGAAGCCACGGCUAACUACGUGCCAGCAGCCGCGGUAAUACGUAGGGGGCAAGCGUUAUCCGGAUUUACUGGGGGUAAAGGGAGCGUAGACGGCGGGGCAAGCCAGAUGUGAAAGCCCGGGGCUCAACCCCGGGACUGCAUUUGGAACUGUGCUGGUGGAGUGUCGGAGAGGCAGGCGGAAUUCCUAGUGUAGCGGUGAAAUGCGUAGAUAUUAGGAGGAACACCAGUGGCGAAGGCGGCCUGCUGGACGAUGACUGACGUUGAGGCUCGAAAGCGUGGGGAGCAAACAGGAUUAGAUACCCCUGUAGUC
Molecule: ribosomal RNA, 440 nt
Filed under: uncultured bacterium
Lineage: Bacteria
Description: partial 16S ribosomal RNA
Rfam family: Bacterial small subunit ribosomal RNA
Source: RNAcentral